This 253-nucleotide ribosomal RNA is filed under the name uncultured bacterium. RNAcentral's name for it is "partial 16S ribosomal RNA". It matches the Rfam family "Bacterial small subunit ribosomal RNA", at positions 524 to 776 of the family's 1533-position model. The record is from RNAcentral.
UACGUAGGGUGCGAGCGUUAAUCGGAAUUACUGGGCGUAAAGCGUGCGCAGGCGGUUCGUUAAGUUCGUUGUGAAAGCCCCGGGCUCAACCUGGGAACUGCAAUGGAAACUGGCGGGCUUGAAUGCGGCAGAGGGGGGUGGAAUUCCGCGUGUAGCAGUGAAAUGCGUAGAGAUGCGGAGGAACACCGAUGGCGAAGGCGGAUCUCUGGGCCGUAACUGACGCUGAGGAGCGAAAGCAUGGGGAGCGAACAGG